GCCUGCGUGGCGUUGGGGUCCGAGCGUCGGACUGUAACUCUUGGAGACCUGGGUUCGAAUCCCCGCUUAGGCA
Phrynosoma platyrhinos (Desert horned lizard) is the source of this 73-nucleotide non-coding RNA. Lineage: Eukaryota; Metazoa; Chordata; Lepidosauria; Squamata; Phrynosomatidae. The record is from the annotation of a GenBank genome assembly.